AUGAUGCCAAAGCAACGGUUAUUUUGAAGACCUCAGGACAAUGAGACCUUAAGGGUGCUUGUAGAGUAAACAAAGGCUGUUUUUUGUUUGUUUGUUUGUUUUCGCUUACUGAUCGAUUGAUUUUUGAAAUGGACUUUUCUCCCCUACUCGGUUUCAGUAUUCGGGAUUUCACACGGAAAGAUCGGAAUCUGAUCAUGACAGCCAGUGGGGCGGAAGUCCCUUGACCGACACGGCCUCUCCGCAGCUUCUGGACCCCGCCGACAGGCCUGGCUCCCAGCACGACGUAUCGUGCGCCUACAGACAGUUUUCGGACCGCAGCUCCCUCUGCUAUGGCUUUGCGCUUGACCACUCGAGGCUGGUGGAAGAGAGGCAUUUCCAUACCCAGGCCUGUGAAGGAGGCCGGUGUGAGGCAGGCAGGUACUUCCUGGGAACGCCGCAGGCCGGGAGGGAGCCCUGGUGGGGCUCUCGCGCAGCCUUGCCCCUGACAAAGGCCUCCCCAGAAAGCAGAGAAGCCUAUGAAAACAGCAUGCCUCACAUCGCUUCAGUCCACAGGAUCCAUGGGCGAGGUC
RNAcentral lists this small RNA (569 nucleotides) under Pongo abelii (Sumatran orangutan). Its description in RNAcentral is "retained intron". Lineage: Eukaryota; Metazoa; Chordata; Mammalia; Primates; Hominidae. The record is from RNAcentral.